UGGGGAAUUUUGCACAAUGGGCGCAAGCCUGAUGCAGCCAUGCCGCGUGUGUGAAGAAGGCCUUCGGGUUGUAAAGCACUUUCAGCGGGGAGGAAGGCGAUAAGGUUAAUAACCUCAUCGAUUGACGUUACCCGCAGAAGAAGCACCGGCUAACUCCGUGCCAGCAGCCGCGGUAAUACGGAGGGUGCAAGCGUUAAUCGGAAUUACUGGGCGUAAAGCGCACGCAGGCGGUCUGUCAAGUCGGAUGUGAAAUCCCCGGGCUCAACCUGGGAACUGCAUUCGAAACUGGCAGGCUAGAGGCUUGUAGAGGGGGGUAGAAUUCCAGGUGUAGCGGUGAAAUGCGUAGAGAUCUGGAGGAAUACCGGUGGCGAAGGCGGCCCCCUGGACAAAGACUGACGCUCAGGUGCGAAAGCGUGGGGAGCAAACAGG
This 429-nucleotide ribosomal RNA is filed under the name Chloroflexota bacterium. Its description in RNAcentral is "Chloroflexi bacterium partial 16S ribosomal RNA". It matches the Rfam family "Bacterial small subunit ribosomal RNA", at positions 355 to 776 of the family's 1533-position model. The record is from RNAcentral. Lineage: Bacteria; Bacillati; Chloroflexota.